AACGAACGCUGGCGGCAUGCCUAACACAUGCAAGUCGAACGAGACCUUCGGGUCUUGUGGCGCACGGGUGCGUAACGCGUGGGAACCUGCCCUUAGGUUCGGAAUAACUCCCCGAAAGGGGUGCUAAUACCGGUUAAUGUCUUCUGACCAAAGAUUUAUCGCCUUUGGAUGGGCCCGCGUUGGAUUAGCUUGUUUGUAGGGUAAAAGCAUACCAAGGCGAGGAUCCAUAGCUGGUUUGAGAGGAUGAUCAGCCACACUGGGACUGAGACACGGCCCAGACUACUACGGGAGGGAGCAGAGGGGAAUAUUGGACAAUGGGGGAAAGCAUGAUCAAGCAAUGACGCGUGAGUGAUGAAGGCAUUAGGGUUGUAAAGCUGUUUUACACGGGAUGAUAAUGACAGUAACGGGAGAAUAAGCACCGGCUAACUCCGUG
This 433-nucleotide ribosomal RNA is filed under the name uncultured bacterium. Its description in RNAcentral is "partial 16S ribosomal RNA". It matches the Rfam family "Bacterial small subunit ribosomal RNA", at positions 29 to 507 of the family's 1533-position model. The record is from RNAcentral.